Molecule: ribosomal RNA, 254 nt
Filed under: uncultured bacterium
Lineage: Bacteria
Description: partial 16S ribosomal RNA
Rfam family: Bacterial small subunit ribosomal RNA
Source: RNAcentral
UACGUAGGGGGCGAGCGUUGUCCGGAUUUAUUGGGCGUAAAGAGCGUGUAGGCGGCCAGGUAGGUCUGCUGUGAAAACUCGAGGCUCAACCUCGAGACGUCGGCGGAAACCAUCUGGCUAGAGUCCGGAAGAGGAGAGUGGAAUUCCUGGUGUAGCGGUGAAAUGCGCAGAUAUCAGGAGGAACACCGAUGGCGAAGGCAGGUCUCUGGGGCCACUACUGACGCUGAGAAGCGAAAGCGUGGGGAGCGAACAGG